GAGGGGCCCGCGCCCGAUUAGCUAGUUGGUGAGGUAAUGGCUCACCAAGGCAUUGAUCGGUAGCUGGUCUGAGAGGAUGAUCAGCCACACUGGAACUGAGACACGGUCCAGACUCCUACGGGAGGCAGCAGUGGGGAGUCUUGCACAAUGGGCGAAAGCCUGAUGCAGCGACGCCGCGUGGGGGAUGAAGCAUUUCGGUGUGUAAACCCCUUUCGAUCCGGACGAAACCCCGCAAGGGAUUGGCGGUACGGAUAUAAGAAGCCCCGGCUAACUACGUGCCAGCAGCCGCGGUAAGACGUAGGGGGCCAGCGUUGUUCGGAAUUACUGGGUGUAAAGGGUUCGUAGGCGGUGUAGCAAGUCGGGAGUGAAAUCUUUGGGCUUAACCCAGAGGCUGCUUCCGAAACUGCUGUGCUUGAGCGUGGGAGUGGCGCGUGGAAUUGCAGGUGUAGCGGUGAAAUGCGUAGAUAUCUGCAGG
RNAcentral lists this ribosomal RNA (475 nucleotides) under uncultured Acidobacteriota bacterium. RNAcentral's name for it is "bacterial SSU rRNA". It matches the Rfam family "Bacterial small subunit ribosomal RNA", at positions 224 to 704 of the family's 1533-position model. Lineage: Bacteria; Pseudomonadati; Acidobacteriota. The record is from RNAcentral.